Molecule: long non-coding RNA, 1073 nt
Filed under: Oryctolagus cuniculus (rabbit)
Lineage: Eukaryota; Metazoa; Chordata; Mammalia; Lagomorpha; Leporidae
Description: lncRNA (ENSOCUG00000038748.1)
Source: RNAcentral
GAAAAACAAUUACUCAAAGGAAAAGUAACAAAGUAAACAUCACUCAGUCAAGUUAUAGGCUCGAUUACACUAGACAGUUACACUAGACUAGUUACACAGUGUUCUAGGAGCCCAGAUGAGAACAGGAUGUGCAUACUGCUGUUCUGAUACUUAUACUUGUUGAUUGUGGAGAGCAGAUGCGCAUGAGCCAAAGUUUCAUUUAAGCAGAGAAGCAUACAGCGGCACAAGGGCAUCACUAAGCAAAUGGGGAAAGCUUCCUUCCUGGAUAGAUGAGGGGGGAGUCCACAGACAUGGUAGGAAAAUGGAUUAAGGAGGACAUACUGUUAUGGAAGAAAAGCAAAGCUACAUUUGGCACAUCUCCCUCUGGCUGUUAUUUGACAGUCCACAUAUCAUUGUGGCUCUCUCAUGCUGACAAGUGUUCCAGUCGGAGUCUGUGGCUGCCUCACCCCCAGAAGCAUCUGAUCUCACUGCUUCUGCUCCAGAUGGUGAUGUAUGAGAGGGUACGACAUGGGCAGUGAUGGGUGCUGUGUAAUGUCACUUCAAGACCUACAGCAGAUUAGUGAGAAGGAGACCUCCGAACAUGGAUCUCCGGCACCUCUGUAGCUCCCAAGAGCCCUCAUUCUUCUGACUUGGAGAUAACUUACUAGAAGGCCAAGCAUAGGAUUAAUUUAUCGCCAAACUGGUUUCAAAGUGAGAGCAAAAGACCGACUUUAGCAUUUAUUUCUAAUUGACAAUGAGGUUGAAGUCCAACUCUGGCAAUAAGAAAUCACUCUCAUGGACAACAGGGGCAAGAAUUGCAUCCUGUGUCACGUUUUAUGAGCUCAAAUCAUGGGAUUUAUGGUAAGUAUUUUGCCUUACCUUAUUUGAUCAAAAAGGUCAUUCAUCUUUUAGCCAUCUCAAAGCAACUCCAAAAUUUCUUGUUUUCCUUUUUUCAGAGAACGAUCAGCAAGCUUCACAUGAAUAAAGGCUACCCCAAGUUAUCAAUAAGCAAGCCGCUAUCAGCAAGCUUCACAUCACCACAAGGUCCAGAGGGAGGAACAAAAUGCAAGACAUCCCCCAGGAAAUGCAGAUAA